Molecule: long non-coding RNA, 245 nt
Organism: Poecilia latipinna (sailfin molly)
Lineage: Eukaryota; Metazoa; Chordata; Actinopteri; Cyprinodontiformes; Poeciliidae
Exons: 3
Source: RefSeq, a predicted model, not a curated record
GAGGAAAUGCUGAUAAUAGGCCAGAGGUAUUCAGCAAGUUGGCUUACGCUACAGCUGAUCUAGUAGUUGGUGCAGGGCAGGAAGUAGCUGUUUCUCAGCAGACGCAGCAUCCGCCCCGUCCUCAAGCUGAACUCGUACAUGUAGGGUCCACUGUAGAGAUUGUUUCCAAAAGUGGAGAACCGAGCAACGUCUACGUCUGGGACGCCACAGCAUGGCUUCUUCAUCAUGGCCAAGGUGUCGGCAUC